GUUGGGUGCAAUGAUGUAUGCCUGUAAUCCUAGUUACUUGGGAGGCUGAAACAGGAGGAUUUUGAGUUUGAGGCCAGUCUGAGCAACAUGGUGAGAUCCUGUCUCAA
This 107-nucleotide small RNA is filed under the name Marmota monax (woodchuck). Lineage: Eukaryota; Metazoa; Chordata; Mammalia; Rodentia; Sciuridae. The record is from RNAcentral.